CCCUUAGAUGUUCUGGGCUGCACGCGCGCUACACUGACGGAGCCAGCGAGCCAUGUCCUUCGCCGGAAGGUGCGGGUAAUCUUGCUAACCUCCGUCGUGCUGGGGAUAGAUGGUUGCAAUUAUUGAUCUUCAACGAGGAAUUCCUAGUAAGCGCAAGUCAUCAGCUUGCGUUGAUUACGUCCCUGCCCUUUGUACACACCGCCCGUCGCUACUACCGAUUGAAUGGUUUAGUGAGGUAUUUGGACUGGACCUUCGGAGGUUCGCGCCUCCGUUGCUGUUCGGGAAGACUCCCAAACUUGAGCGUUUAGAGGAAGUAAAAGUCGUAACA
RNAcentral lists this ribosomal RNA (328 nucleotides) under uncultured eukaryote. Its description in RNAcentral is "partial 18S ribosomal RNA". It matches the Rfam family "Eukaryotic small subunit ribosomal RNA", at positions 1470 to 1796 of the family's 1831-position model. The record is from RNAcentral.